CCUACGGGAGGCAGCAGUGGGGGAUAUUGCACAAUGGGGGGAACCCUGAUGCAGCGACGCCGCGUGGGUGAAGAAGCGCCUCGGCGCGUAAAGCCCUGUCAGCAGGGAAGAAACUGACGGUACCUGAAGAAGAAGCCCCGGCUAACUACGUGCCAGCAGCCGCGGUAAUACGUAGGGGGCAAGCGUUAUCCGGAUUUACUGGGUGUAACGGGGGCGCAGACGGCGAUGCAAGCCAGGAGUGAAAGCUCGGGGCCCAACCCCGGGACUGCUCGUGGAACUGCGUGGCUGGAGUGCAGGAGGGGCAGGCGGAAUUCCUGGUGUAGCGGUGAAAUGCGUAGAUAUCAGGAGGAACACCGGUGGCGAAGGCGGCCUGCUGGACUGCAACUGACGUUGAGGCCCGAAAGCGUGGGGAGCAAACAGGAUUAGAUACCCUGGUAGUC
This 440-nucleotide ribosomal RNA is filed under the name uncultured bacterium. Its description in RNAcentral is "partial 16S ribosomal RNA". It matches the Rfam family "Bacterial small subunit ribosomal RNA", at positions 338 to 795 of the family's 1533-position model. The record is from RNAcentral.